This is a long non-coding RNA of Coturnix japonica (Japanese quail), 785 nucleotides long. RefSeq lists it as uncharacterized. The record is from RefSeq and is a predicted model, not a curated record. Lineage: Eukaryota; Metazoa; Chordata; Aves; Galliformes; Phasianidae.
GGCAGAUACUAAAAUCAACCAGAGUUUUCCUCAUCUGAGCAACACGGACAGCGAUGUGCAAUUGGACCUUUCUGCUUGCUGGAGGUUUUGAGUCCUGAAAGCUGUUAGCAGAGAGAAGCUACAGCUAUCCAGACCAGAAUAUUAAAAAUCCGUAAGAAGUAUCUACUGUGGAAGGACAGGAACAUGACAGCACGUUCUCACAAAGACUCGUGGCUAAGUGGUAAUGUAACCUGCAUUGAAGAAAGUACCAGUGCCUGCACACAGGGCCACAUGACAGCUUUGUACAGAGGCAACUACAUCUGACUUGUAUGAAGAAGAAAACCUUGCAGGAUCCACAUGGCUGGAAAGGGCAUCAGUAAUGUUUGACAUUGUUUAAGCUUCUGGAAGCACUGAUUUGAACUCUGCAGUGCCUCUGGGAUUUGUAUGAUACACAAGCUUAGUAACUGAAGCAACACACAGAACCCGGAAUCCCUACAGCAAGCCAUGAAGGCUUGAGAAAUCCAGCUUCCUGUAAUUUCACUACUCAUUCUUCAUGGUGACUUGAGGAUGCUUUGUGUUGCUCUUUCACUACCUGGUAAAAUGAAGAAUUAAAGUGAAAGGAAAUGGAGUGUGACAUCAGACCUGUGGCCAAGUCCUUAAUUUGUUUUCUUGCUAAUGCUGAACUCAAGGAAAUCAACUGGAUCCUUGCCUGAGUAAGUACUGGGCAGAAAUUAAGGAAGGGUUUGAAGACUGGGCCUUUGAUGGUUAGGCCAAUGCCUUCCGUGUAAGCCCAAGUUCUUAAAAGA